GGUCAAUUCGGGAACAUUCCAAGCCCUAUAAAUAAUGCGUCAGAUACUUCUGCUUUACCAAAAUCCAAUCGCAUCAUAUUUCCGUAUCACAGCGAGCCCUAACCCUAGAAUUCGAUCAUGUCUAGCAAGCAAGGAGGUAAAGCUAAGCCGCUGAAGCAACCAAAGGCUGAUAAGAAGGAAUACGACGAGACGGACAUGGCUAACAUUCAAAAGAAGAAGGAAGAAGAGAAGGCUCUUAAGGAGCUAAGGGCAAAGGCUCAGCAGAAAGGAUCAUUUGGAGGUUCUGGCUUGAAGAAAAGUGGCAAGAAAUGAGACCUGAUUUUCGUGUUGAUUUGGGUUGGUACCUUUCGAACGGGCCAUCUAUUUGCCGAUUGAUGUUUGGUAACCUGUAAACUUUGCAGGAUUCUAUUAUAAAGAAUUGAUUGCAUAUGGGAGUAUGGAUUUCUAAAAAACUGUUUGCUUUUAUGUCAAAUUUUAGCAAAAUAUUUAGGGAUCUUCCUAUUCAUAGUAAAUAAUUCAAAUAUUGACGGUUUAUUUUCAUUCAAUUAAAAUUAAAAACCUCAAUAUUGACGGUUUAUUUUCAUUCAAUUGAAAAUAUCUCGACUUCUGCCUCCCGACUUAUGUAGCCCAAGUAGAAGGAUAUUGUGAGAAACCACCAAAACGGCCCAAUUCAUGUAGCCCAAGUUAGUAUUACUUGGACCUACUUCUUUGGAAUGUCUACAGUGAGUUUUCCGCAUAUGGCACACCUCAUUUGAAAAUAGUAAUAGUAGAAAAUAAGAGUAAAACCUCAAUAUUGUUUUUGACUGAUAAAAAAUUAGAAACAUCGAAAUCCUUUGUUCUUUUUUUUCAUUGAUAUAUAAAUUGCACCUUUCUACUCCCCCAA
Salvia splendens (bonfire salvia) is the source of this 883-nucleotide long non-coding RNA. RefSeq lists it as uncharacterized. The record is from RefSeq and is a predicted model, not a curated record. NCBI's taxonomy places the organism in Eukaryota, Viridiplantae, Streptophyta, Magnoliopsida, Lamiales, Lamiaceae. The transcript has 4 exons.